Scaptodrosophila lebanonensis is the source of this 145-nucleotide long non-coding RNA. RefSeq lists it as uncharacterized. Lineage: Eukaryota; Metazoa; Arthropoda; Insecta; Diptera; Drosophilidae. The record is from RefSeq and is a predicted model, not a curated record. The transcript is spliced from 3 exons.
CGGCCAUUCUUAAUGAGAAGAAUUAGACUGAAAAAAGAACAGUUAUUGACGUAUAUCUUUAGCAUGGUAAGUGCCAACUAAGCAUCCUUGUAGGCCUUCAAGCACGUAAAAUGCAUUGCCUAACUUUUCCCGAUCGGAAGACCAC